AAGGACUCUAUGAUGCUGGGAACAGCAGGUGCCUGAAGAAGGAUCUGCUGGAGGAACAAGAAGCAUGUUCUGCUCCAGAAAUCUCUCUCAAACCAGAGCUGGCUUGGUUAAACUGCAACUGAAACAUCAUCAGCAGAGUGGGACCAUACAGGAGAGGGGUGAAUUCUGGGCACAAUUUGGAAGACUCCUUUCAGCUUUCAGUCAAAAGUACCCACCGUCCUGGAUCUAAAAUGUGAAAUCUCUGCUUUGAGCAAAAAACUUGCUGCUGUGAGUAAGGAACAAGCUGGCACAACGCUUAUUUAGCAAAGGACACACCAUGAUUGCUGCUAAGCUGAAUUAGAAGUUGGAGAGAGACAGUGGAGAGAAAUUCUUAAACCUGUUACCAUGGUCAUUACUCAGCACUGUGUAUUUCACUGCCACAGAUCACCGUGCAGACAUAAUGCUCAUUAUCUGUGCAGGAGGUCGCCUUUGCAUGCUGGAGGAAAACACUGUGCAAGUGACUGAGCCCCUGAGGCUGCCAGCUGCCAGCAGAUGCAUGUGAACAACCAGGGCAAGCACCCCGAAACUCCUUCAGGAGCUGCUACACCUGGAGUGAUACUAUUAAAAAGAGCUGGCUUAGGGCAACCAAGGGCUGAAGGAUGUUCCCAAGCAGCGCUUCAGGAUGUGUCAGCCCUGCUGUUAUGGGUAAUGGGAGCCAGCACUGCAAGGACAGGUUUGUUCUCUUCUUGUGCAAUAGUUCUUUAG
This 744-nucleotide long non-coding RNA is filed under the name Coturnix japonica (Japanese quail). RNAcentral describes it as "lncRNA (ENSCJPG00005004674.1)". Lineage: Eukaryota; Metazoa; Chordata; Aves; Galliformes; Phasianidae. The record is from RNAcentral.